Molecule: ribosomal RNA, 465 nt
Filed under: uncultured bacterium
Lineage: Bacteria
Description: partial 16S ribosomal RNA
Rfam family: Bacterial small subunit ribosomal RNA
Source: RNAcentral
GACGAACGCUGGCGGCGUGCUUAACACAUGCAAGUCGUACGGUAAGGCCCUUUCGGGGGUACACGAGUGGCGAACGGGUGAGUAACACGUGCGUAACCUGCCCACAACUUUGGGAUAACGCUAGGAAACUGGUGCUAAUACUGGAUAUGUGCUCCUGCUGCAUGGUGGGGGUUGGAAAGCUCCGGCGGUUGUGGAUGGACUCGCGGCCUAUCAGCUUGUUGGUGGGGUAGUGGCCUACCAAGGCGGCGUCGGGUAGCCGGCCUGAGAGGGUGACCGGCCACAUUGGGACUGAGAUACGGCCCAGACUCCUACGGGAGGCAGCAGUGGGGAAUAUUGCACAAGGGGCGCAAGCCUGAUGCAGCAACGCCGCGGGCGGGAUGACGGCCUUCGGGUUGUAAACCGCUUUCAGCAGGGACGAAGCUUUUUGUGACGGUACCUGCAGAAGAAGCACCGGCUAACUACGUG